RNAcentral lists this long non-coding RNA (1177 nucleotides) under Monodelphis domestica (gray short-tailed opossum). RNAcentral describes it as "lncRNA (ENSMODG00000040116.1)". The record is from RNAcentral. Lineage: Eukaryota; Metazoa; Chordata; Mammalia; Didelphimorphia; Didelphidae.
CGUUUAUGCAGCGUCUGGGAGUAAAAAGCCGAGUCCCUUCUCUGGCACAGGGCAAAGAUGCAGAAUUCAGUACUCUGGCGCCACCUUCCCCUGUAACCUUUUCCCGCCUCUUCUCUUCUUUUCCCGCCUUUCUUCCCCGCCUUUUUAUAAUUUCUCCCCGCCCUCCACUUCCCUCCAAAGCCAGCAGGGCUGGGGGUAGGGGGUAGGGGGGGGGAUGGCAACAGGGGGAGGGGUGCGAGCUUUGGCUCGUGCUGCGCAAGAGUGAACUCACGUCUCAGUCCCACCCGGCAUCCUCAUCUUCUUCCCCUCCUCCCUAUAAUCCCUCCCGCUCUCCACUUCAACAAUCGCUUUAGUGCGCAGCCGCUCUGCCUCGCCCUCUAUCGCAGUUCCUCUUCGGAUCCUGUCUGGAGCCCGCGUCUCUCCCUUUCCCCAUUGGCUGCUCUCAGGUGACCCACAACCGCCCAAACCGCCGCUUCGGGAGCUUGCUGGACCCUUACAUCUGUUCACCAUUUGGGCUGGCGGCUGCGGGCGUUGCCAAGAUCCCCAUAAAAAUUGAAAACGGAACAUGGCAACCAAACGAAAAGCUAAAACGAUCCUCGUCCUCCUCCUGCUCUCAUUGGCCCGAAGUGAUAAUAUUCUUUCUCAGCUGAGAAAGAGCAACAGUAGCUGUACCUAUGAUGAGGAAAUGUUACAGAGAUUGGCCUUGCAGCUGAGAUGCAUUGGAGAUGGACUCAAUAAUAGAGUGAUUCAAGAGGGUCUUCAAUUAGAAGAAGUUAGAGAUGCAGUGGCUCAUUUUGUCUUAUUUUUGCUUAGAAAAGCUCAUUUGGUUUUGAACUAUUUUUUGGCCAACCAUCCAAUGUAGAACAAAAUUUAAAUUUCAAGUUGUUCGUUUUCUUUCCACUUUCUGAGAUAUAUACAUUACCCUUGUUGAACCCCAAAAAUCUGGGGGAAAAGACCAUGCCUUAUUGACUUUCCUAGCUGCCUGGUUGGUUUGUACCGAUAGGUACAAAGAAGAGGGGCAGUAUGGUUGAAUGGUAUGAAUGCUGGAAAUGGAGUGAAAUCUCAGCUCAAAUUCUGUCUAUGAGACUGACCAUGAAACCCUGGGCAAGUCACUUAACUUCAUUGAAACUGUUUCUUUAUCAAUAAAAUUAGACUAAUUAUAAUGUUUGUACUACUU